This 256-nucleotide ribosomal RNA is filed under the name uncultured bacterium. RNAcentral's name for it is "partial 16S ribosomal RNA". It matches the Rfam family "Bacterial small subunit ribosomal RNA", at positions 524 to 776 of the family's 1533-position model. The record is from RNAcentral.
UACGUAGGGCGCGAGCGUUGUCCGGAUUUAUUGGGCGUAAAGAGCUCGUAGGCGGCUUGUCGCGUCGACUGUGAAAAACCCGAGGCUCAACUUCGGGCUUGCAGUCGAUACGGGCAGGCUAGAGUUCGGUAGGGGGAGACUGGAAUUCCUGGUGUAGCGGUGAAAAUGCGCAGAUAUCAGGAGGAACACCGAUGGCGAAGGCAGGUCUCUGGGCCGAUACUGACGCUGAGGAGCGAAAGCGUGGGGAGCGAACAGG